Gallus gallus (chicken) is the source of this 1133-nucleotide long non-coding RNA. NCBI's taxonomy places the organism in Eukaryota, Metazoa, Chordata, Aves, Galliformes, Phasianidae. The record is from Ensembl.
CCGUGACAGACCCCUGGGGCAGCUCCAAAGCCACUUAGCACAGGCAUGGAGCGGGGCCAGGAGGAGAUGCUGGCACCAAAAGAGCAGCUCUAGCAAGUCUAGCGCACCAUUCUGCUAGGGGACAGGUUUGGAUGGGCUCAGACCCCAGCAGCACACAGCUCCCACUUGUGCAGCGCUCUGACCGCCAGCCCUGGGGACAGCACGAGCCUCGUGCUCCCUGCAUAGAAGAGCACACGCUGCGUGUGAGCCUCAGAAACCAUCUGUUAGUGACACAAAAACAUGCUGGCAGCGCUCAGCACCGCUUGGCAGGGAAACCUGUAUCAACUGUCUGCAGGCCAAGGUCUAAAGGGCAGUCCACCUCUGGAGACUUCUGCAGCUUUGAGGAGCUCUCAUCUUGCAGCUGGUGGGUGCCCUCACAGCACACAGCCCCGGGGGUGCUGCUCCAUGCCUUGAGUGUGCCCCAGGAGGACCAGGGAGGAGAGCAAAUGGAGCACCCCGGGAGUGCAGCCUUUUUAGACCAGCCCUGGCGGGAGCCACGUGGCACUGCAUUUAGAACUUCUGCUUUGAAGGCUGGAUCCGAGUCAUGCAGCUUUGUCCCAGGCUGAGAGUUCCAUGCAGUAACUCACGAACCUGCUGCCGUUACUCACCUCAAUGAAGACUUUGUUACAUGGAUGGACUCACUGAACUGCUGCUCUGCAGUGUAAGUGAGGGCUGCGGGGCCAUCCAAAAGCAGCCCUCCCCACCCCAAUGUCACCUCUCCCUCUGCAAAGGAAUUGGAAAGCCACCUGCACAGGAGAAGAGAAGCUAAAGCCAUUCCCCACAGAUUCUGCAAUCCGAGCACUGCUGCGGAUAAUAGACCGAUGCACCAGAGGGGAUUGAAUCAACCAAAAAUAAAUCCAUAGAACAUCUCUUUUUUUCAAUAGCUUUUGCUGUCUUCGAGGCCAAGCAGCAUCCUUUAAUGGAAGCAGUGAGGCUGGGCCGGUAAAGCUUCCCGAGUUUAAAGUUAUUUGAUAGCUAGUUAUUUUUCUUCAAAGGAGACGAAGUAAACCUCUGCCUCCAGCCCUCACCACAGCAGCAGAAAUGCUUUGUCAGUGUAUUUGUGACACGUUAAUUAUAGCAAUGGAAAAUCUCAG